GAUGAACGCUGGCGGCGUGCCUAAUACAUGCAAGUCGAGCGAACAGACGAGGAUCUUGCUCCUCUGACGUUAGCGGCGGACGGGUGAGUAACACGUGGCUAACCUACCUAUAAGACUGGGAUAACUUCGGGAAACCGGAGUUAAUACCGGAUUAUAUAUUGAACCGCAUGGUUUAAUAGUGAAAGACGGUUUUGCUGUCACUUUUAGAUUGAUCCUCGCCGCAUUAGCUAGUUGGUAAGGUAACGGCUUACCAAGGGAACGAUGCGUAGCCGACCUGAGAGGGUGAUCGGCCACACUGGAACUGAGACACGGUCCAGACUCCUACGGGAGGCAGCAGUAGGGAAUCUUCAGCAAUGGGCGAAAGCCUGACGGAGCAACGCCGCGUGAGUGAUGAAGGUAUUCGGAUCGUAAAACUCUGUUAUUAGGGAAGAACAAAUGUGUAAGUAACUAUGCACGUCUUGACGGUACCAAAUCAGAAAGCCACGGCUAACUACGUG
This 497-nucleotide ribosomal RNA is filed under the name uncultured bacterium. RNAcentral's name for it is "partial 16S ribosomal RNA". It matches the Rfam family "Bacterial small subunit ribosomal RNA", at positions 28 to 507 of the family's 1533-position model. The record is from RNAcentral.